CAGGUGAGCUACCCCGAGACAGCCUAUAUUAUUUAGGGCUAACCCGUCUCUGUGGCAAAAGAGUGGGAAGAGCUCCGGGUAGAAGUGACAGACCUACCGAACCUGGUGAUAGCUGGUUAUCUGAGAAGUGGAUAGAAGUUCAGCCCCAUACACCCCAAAUCAACAUGUAUAUUAUUAAGAUACUCAAGGGAAACAUAUGAGAGUUAGUUGAAAGGGGUACAGCCCUUUUAACAAAGGAUACAACCUUUACAGGAGAAUAAAGAUCAUAAUAUGUAAAACAUACUGUUUUAGUGGGCCUAAAAGCAGCCACCUAAAUAGAAAGCGUUAAAGCUCGGACAGAGAGAAGUUUAUUAUACCGAUAAAAAAUCUUAUUUCCCUAAUCAUAUCAGAUUAACCCAUGCCCACAUGGAAGAAAUUAUGCUAGAAUGAGUAACAAGAAGACCUGCACUUCUCCUUGCACAAGUGUAAACCAGAUCGGACAAGCCACUGGAACUUAACGAACCCAACCCAAGAGGGUAAUGUGACUAACAAAAAUAUCAAGAAGAAUUCACAAUUAAACUAAUCGUUAAUCCCACACUGGAGUGCUAUUUUAUAAAGGAAAGACUAAAAGGUGGGAAAGGAACUCGGCAAACACAAGCCUCGCCUGUUUACCAAAAACAUCGCCUCCUGCAACUAAAUUGAGUAUAGGAGGUCCAGCCUGCCCAGUGACUACGGGUUCAACGGCCGCGGUAUUUUG
RNAcentral lists this ribosomal RNA (736 nucleotides) under Ptychocheilus lucius (Colorado pikeminnow). RNAcentral describes it as "partial 16S ribosomal RNA". It matches the Rfam family "Bacterial large subunit ribosomal RNA", at positions 722 to 1897 of the family's 2925-position model. Lineage: Eukaryota; Metazoa; Chordata; Actinopteri; Cypriniformes; Leuciscidae. The record is from RNAcentral.